Molecule: ribosomal RNA, 433 nt
Filed under: uncultured bacterium
Lineage: Bacteria
Description: partial 16S ribosomal RNA
Rfam family: Bacterial small subunit ribosomal RNA
Source: RNAcentral
AACGAACGCUGGCGGCAUGCCUAACACAUGCAAGUCGAACGAGACCUUCGGGUCUAGUGGCGCACGGGUGCGUAACGCGUGGGAACCUGCCCUUAGGUUCGGAAUAACUCCCCGAAAGGGGUGCUAAUACCGGAUAAUGUCUUCGGACCAAAGAUUUAUCGCCUUUGGAUGGGCCCGCGUUGGAUUAACUAGUUGGUAGGGUAAAAGCCUACCAAGGCGACGAUCCAUAGCUGGUCUGAGAGGAUGAUCAGCCACACUGGGACUGAGACACGGCCCAGACUCUUACGGGAGGCAGCAGUGGGGAAUAUUGGAAAAUGGGCGAAAGCCUGAUCCAGCAAUGCCGGGUGAGUGAUGAAGGCCUUAGGGUUGUAAAGCUCUUUUACCCGGGAUGAUAAUGACAGUACCGGGAGAAUAAGCUCCGGCUAACUCCGUG